GCCGCGCUCGACACUCACCCACUCGUAAAUACUUGUAAAUAAAUUAUCUGGCCAGCGACCAAUAUGCGUACAUAUACCGACGGGCGUUAAUAUAACCUGAAAAACGAGCACAUCAGCACGCUGCGCUGGCACUUUUUCUGCCCCCACUUUAUAUUCGCCAUUACAACACGAAGCGGUGGCGCAAAGCAGAACGCGAGGGAACCGAGUGGCAACCCUCAAGCGGCAGCAGCAGCAACAACAACCAAGGAAAAUAAGAAAAAGAGGACGAGCAUACAAAGCGCAAAAUAACACACGAAAAAAACGCACAAAACGCAAAAGAGAGUAAGAGAGGGGGAAAAGGAAGGCAACACAAACACCCAUACAACUCAUGUAUACAGCUGCGGUUAAGAUAUCCAAGUGACCCAACAUUUUGCCCCAUGCUGUCUGCUUGUGUUUGUGGAUAAAAUUCAUGUGAAGUUGCGGAUGAAGCUGGCAAUGCGGUGGAGGCCGAAAUACACACACGAACACGAGAAAAGCAGGCCCAGGGCAGCAGCAACAACAACUAUGACAAGCAAGCAAAACACAGAAAAAAAAACACAGUACAGUGGGGCCCAGAAGAGCCAUGUGUUUAGGUUUCCCACAGAAAGUUACAUAUAUCCCAUGGUACGUUCUCCUUGCAAAUGUCGUGUUCCUUCGCCGCCGCUGCCUCGCCGGUCUUUAUUCGAUUAUUCCUAAAUUUUCGGUCCGAAUGGCUUUUGUUGCUGCCAACCACUGUGCCCGUGUGUGUACAUUUAUGUACAUGGUGUGUUAUUCACAAUUUCCGAGUAAUACUCGUUUUUAUUUUCCUCUUUUUCCAUUGCAACGUAUUUCUGGCUGGGCCGCUGCUCUUUUUUCAUCGCCUGCGCUUUGAACGCACGUUCGUUGUGGGGGGAAAAAGAAAUAAAUAAAAGAUGGUGACGAAUCGUU
This is a long non-coding RNA of Drosophila biarmipes, 945 nucleotides long. RefSeq lists it as uncharacterized. The record is from RefSeq and is a predicted model, not a curated record. NCBI's taxonomy places the organism in Eukaryota, Metazoa, Arthropoda, Insecta, Diptera, Drosophilidae. The transcript is spliced from 2 exons.